CUAUUAAAUACAACAUUCCCUCCCUCUCACCCCAGCCUUAGAAAACCUAAAGCCUCCAUCAGUUUCCAUUGUCCACUAAAUUACUAUUACCUGAUUUCAGGUCAUUUUUUGAUACCAGGUUUUGAUGGAAACAGAAUAAAAGCAUAUGAGGGAUGCGAUAGUGAGGAGGACCCAAGGAAAGGGCCCAGCAAGACGUGGAUGAGGAGCCAUAGAUGAUCUACUUUAUAGUUUGCAAAGGGCUGGCAGCCUCCCUUAGCUACUGCCGAGACUUUGGAUCAUUCCAGCUAUAGCUAAGCACUUCUUUUGGUGAAGUCUGCAAGAUUCAAGGAUUGUGUACUCCUUGAAAGCACAUAUUAUCUCUCAGAGAUGUUAAGAAAAUACACAUCCUAAUACUGAUGUUUUUAUUUUCUAGGAAGUAUUGGGUCACAAUCAAUUCUAGUGAUAAACACUCUGCGUCUUUACAAAUAAAUACUCAGUGUUUUCCCUGGAACUAAUGUCUUUGUUCUUUCCUUGUACUUUGUACCCAUGCUUCCUAUUUUCCUUUGUUUUACCAAGUAGGCAGUGGACAGAAGGGACCAUUUUGUUGGGUCACAAAGGUAGCAAAAGAAAUAUACAGACUUAGGAAAAGUCAAGAUACAAUCUCUUACAGAUAGUUGAAGUACAAGGACAUCCUUGCAAAGCCUGGCACAAAUAACAAUAACUUUCUCAUGAGCAGACUCCCCAGCCCCAUUGUCCUACAUGUGGAGAAAAGGAAGGUCCUGCUGCUCACAGCUCUGAAAGUCUGUCCUGUGUGUGAUCACCACGUGGAUUCAGAGAGUGAGCUGGACAAGGUGUAUAAUCUGGACAGCUCCCAUCAUAGUCCACAGAACUGGUGCAUCCCAACCUUUGUCCUGGAGCUUCGUAACCCAAACCUCAGGUUUCAAAGAUGAAGAGGUACAGAUGAUUUUAGAAGACAUUGAAGCUUGUGUCAGGAUCACAAAACCUCAGAGUUAGAAAACAUUGAGAAGUCAUCUGGGACCCCUGCUGCGUUGUCCUAGUUUCUUGACAGAUGGUCACGAAGCGUUGGUUGGAACGGGUCUGGUGGCAAGGACACAGCCCUGUUGUUCCUUAUUUCUGACACAUCCUGGGGGCGGCAUCCUCCAUGGACUACCUCCUCCCAACCUCCUGAAUCACGUACUGUGUCCUCCAGCUCCAGAGCCUGAAAUCGUCACUCUUCCUUACUGGCAGGAGUAUCCUGAGCAAGUGUUUUAGCUAUUCUGUGCCUUAGUGUCCUCAUUGGUGAAACGGGGAUAAUAAUAGAAAAUGCAUCAUAGGAUUGUUGAGAGAAUUAACUCACGUAACUCAUGUAAAGUGUUCGGAACAGUACAGUAAGCACAGAAUAGAUAUUAAUCAUUAUCACAGAGAACACACAGUUCUACAAAUUUGUACACAUAUUUUCUUUCCUCCUUCUCAUCAAACACAUUCUUCCAGUCUCUUUCAGAAGGACCCACUGGUUCUCUUGAUAGAAAUACAUCUUGCAGGUCUUAUAAAACCAUUGCUCUCAAACUUUGACAAUA
This 1556-nucleotide long non-coding RNA is filed under the name Bos indicus x Bos taurus (hybrid cattle). RNAcentral describes it as "lncRNA (ENSBIXG00005023776.1)". Lineage: Eukaryota; Metazoa; Chordata; Mammalia; Artiodactyla; Bovidae. The record is from RNAcentral.